This 24-nucleotide non-coding RNA is filed under the name Arabidopsis thaliana (thale cress). Lineage: Eukaryota; Viridiplantae; Streptophyta; Magnoliopsida; Brassicales; Brassicaceae. The record is from RNAcentral.
ACCAACUGCUCCGAAACAUGUUGC